Triticum urartu is the source of this 1243-nucleotide non-coding RNA. NCBI's taxonomy places the organism in Eukaryota, Viridiplantae, Streptophyta, Magnoliopsida, Poales, Poaceae. The record is from RefSeq and is a predicted model, not a curated record.
GGUGGCUAUUGCCAAGUACGUAGACGUUGAUUUACUUGCUAGGCCUGAUUGGAUUUUUCAUCUUUUUUACCCGUUAUUCCCUUUGGACCUAUUGAUCUGCGAAUUUUCUUUACAACUGACGGUGCCUCAUUAUGUGAUACUGAAACUAAACAAAGGUGCGUAUUUGGGAAAUUGAUAAUCAAAUAUUGGACUUCGAAUCAACAGAAAGGAGAUGCUUUGUGACCAAAUAUAUAUCUCUGAAACGUCUGCACAAUAAUGUUAUAGUUUAUGUUAGAUGGCAAAGUAUCAGAUUUUUAUUAUGACAGCAAGAUGCCAACGCAAGGUGCUUGUGCAUGAAUAAACCAUAUGAAUAUGAGAUGCACAACUUCCUGUGCAAUUCUGAGACUUUUGGGCAAGUCAUCUCCAUAGGUGUGAAGGAAGAUUCUGAUUACAUAUAAGAAAAUCAUCCAACUUUUUGUUCAUCUGCAUCCAAGCGGCGAUACCGCCUGCAAGAUAUACUCCAUCGCUUCUAAGCAUCACAUCGGCAGGUCGAUUCCUCGGGUGGAUUGGAUUCUCACCCGCUCCAAGUGAAACUUGAGCGACGGCAUGCAAGGGACUACCAAAGAAGAAGAGAUGAUGCGGGUUCAGAAUCUGACAUUAUCUGUGUUAGUGCUGGCAGAUCCAAAGGCGGAAAGAAACGGACAGUUUCACACACUAGCAACCGUAGGAUCAUCAGCAAAAAGCAUACCGUGAUGAAAAAAAAAUCAGAAUCCCAACAAAAGUGCUUUUCGAUGCUAUGAUGCAGCAGCUAGGCCUCCCAAAUGCAGUGUACUCAACACAGAAGGCAAGAGCAAUUGGUCUUGACACAACUAUUCACUUCUAUCCUUCCAAGCAUCAAUUGGACAACAAAUCUUCCAAGACAAUCAAUAUCAAUCCAUGUAUCCAACAAACUAGGAGAUGCUGAAGACCAACUAGCAAACGAAGCUCUCAAGUACAUGAAAAGCAUCCACGGUAAAGUGUUGCAGGACAUAAACUAUGACAAGAUGUAACUGCUCCAGCAAAAGUGUGAAUCUCUUGAGCAUCAGCAGAAAGAAAAACACAACCUAAUAGACUAUUUUAGCAAUAGCUGGUGCCAUAGCCUCGGUGGAGAUCACAUGGCAUCAAAGGAACUUUACUGUAUAAUAGAUAGCAACUUCACAGCCGGAUCAACGUCCAAAGACAAUGAUCUGAAUCAUAUUUUGUCGCAAGUAAGAUAUGUUGUUAA